Molecule: unclassified non-coding RNA, 389 nt
Filed under: Melitaea cinxia (Glanville fritillary)
Lineage: Eukaryota; Metazoa; Arthropoda; Insecta; Lepidoptera; Nymphalidae
Description: misc RNA ENSMCXG00005013577.1
Source: RNAcentral
CACAAUUAUGUUUAUUCAUUAUCAUUAUAAAUUCAAGAUGGCCGCCGCUACAAAAUGGCGGAUAAUUUAUGUUUUAUUAAUCCCAUCAAUAUGGGUAUCAAAUGAAAGGGCUCAACAAGCAGAAUACAAUAUACUAUAAAAAAUUGAAAUCCAAGAUGGCGGCCGCUACAAAAUGGCGGAUAACGUAGGUUUUAUCGAUCCCAUCAAUAUGGGUAUCAAAUGAAAGUGCUCAACCAGUAUAAUCAAUGUACUAUAUAAAAUUAAAAUCCAAGAUGGCGGCCUCUACAAAAUGGCGGAUAACUUAGGUUUUAUCAAUCCCAUCAACAUGUGUAUCAAAUGAAAGGUCUCAACAAGUAGAAUACAAUUUACUAUGCAAAAUUGAAAUCUAA